This 2907-nucleotide ribosomal RNA is filed under the name Salmonella enterica. Its description in RNAcentral is "23S ribosomal RNA". It matches the Rfam family "Bacterial large subunit ribosomal RNA". The record is from RNAcentral. RNAcentral also lists the same sequence under 2 other names. Lineage: Bacteria; Pseudomonadati; Pseudomonadota; Gammaproteobacteria; Enterobacterales; Enterobacteriaceae.
GGUUAAGCGACUAAGCGUACACGGUGGAUGCCCUGGCAGUCAGAGGCGAUGAAGGGCGUGCUAAUCUGCGAUAAGCGCCGGUAAGGUGAUAUGAACCGUUAUAACCGGCGAUACCCGAAUGGGGAAACCCAGUGUGACUCGUCACACUAUCAUUAACUGAAUCCAUAGGUUAAUGAGGCGAACCGGGGGAACUGAAACAUCUAAGUACCCCGAGGAAAAGAAAUCAACCGAGAUUCCCCCAGUAGCGGCGAGCGAACGGGGAGGAGCCCAGAGCCUGAAUCAGCAUGUGUGUUAGUGGAAGCGUCUGGAAAGGCGCGCGAUACAGGGUGACAGCCCCGUACACAAAAGCGCAUGUGCUGUGAGCUCGAUGAGUAGGGCGGGACACGUGGUAUCCUGUCUGAAUAUGGGGGGACCAUCCUCCAAGGCUAAAUACUCCUGACUGACCGAUAGUGAACCAGUACCGUGAGGGAAAGGCGAAAAGAACCCCGGCGAGGGGAGUGAAAAAGAACCUGAAACCGUGUACGUACAAGCAGUGGGAGCACAGGUUUACCUGUGUGACUGCGUACCUUUUGUAUAAUGGGUCAGCGACUUAUAUUCUGUAGCAAGGUUAACCGAAUAGGGGAGCCGCAGGGAAACCGAGUCUUAAUUGGGCGUUAAGUUGCAGGGUAUAGACCCGAAACCCGGUGAUCUAGCCAUGGGCAGGUUGAAGGUUGGGUAACACUAACUGGAGGACCGAACCGACUAAUGUUGAAAAAUUAGCGGAUGACCUGUGGCUGGGGGUGAAAGGCCAAUCAAACCGGGAGAUAGCUGGUUCUCCCCGAAAGCUAUUUAGGUAGCGCCUCGUGAAUUCAUCUCCGGGGGUAGAGCACUGUUUCGGCUAGGGGGCCAUCCCGGCUUACCAACCCGAUGCAAACUGCGAAUACCGGAGAAUGUUAUCACGGGAGACACACGGCGGGUGCUAACGUCCGUCGUGAAGAGGGAAACAACCCAGACCGCCAGCUAAGGUCCCAAAGUCAUGGUUAAGUGGGAAACGAUGUGGGAAGGCCCAGACAGCCAGGAUGUUGGCUUAGAAGCAGCCAUCAUUUAAAGAAAGCGUAAUAGCUCACUGGUCGAGUCGGCCUGCGCGGAAGAUGUAACGGGGCUAAACCAUGCACCGAAGCUGCGGCAGCGACACUGUGUGUUGUUGGGUAGGGGAGCGUUCUGUAAGCCUGUGAAGGUGGCCUGUGAGGGUUGCUGGAGGUAUCAGAAGUGCGAAUGCUGACAUAAGUAACGAUAAAGCGGGUGAAAAGCCCGCUCGCCGGAAGACCAAGGGUUCCUGUCCAACGUUAAUCGGGGCAGGGUGAGUCGACCCCUAAGGCGAGGCCGAAAGGCGUAGUCGAUGGGAAACGGGUUAAUAUUCCCGUACUUGGUGUUACUGCGAAGGGGGGACGGAGAAGGCUAUGUUGGCCGGGCGACGGUUGUCCCGGUUUAAGCGUGUAGGUGUGUGUUCCAGGUAAAUCCGGUUCACUUUAACACUGAGGCGUGAUGACGAGGCACUACGGUGCUGAAGCAACAAAUGCCCUGCUUCCAGGAAAAGCCUCUAAGCAUCAGGUAACAUCAAAUCGUACCCCAAACCGACACAGGUGGUCAGGUAGAGAAUACCAAGGCGCUUGAGAGAACUCGGGUGAAGGAACUAGGCAAAAUGGUGCCGUAACUUCGGGAGAAGGCACGCUGACACGUAGGUGAAGUGAUUUACUCACGGAGCUGAAGUCAGUCGAAGAUACCAGCUGGCUGCAACUGUUUAUUAAAAACACAGCACUGUGCAAACACGAAAGUGGACGUAUACGGUGUGACGCCUGCCCGGUGCCGGAAGGUUAAUUGAUGGGGUCAGCGCAAGCGAAGCUCCUGAUCGAAGCCCCGGUAAACGGCGGCCGUAACUAUAACGGUCCUAAGGUAGCGAAAUUCCUUGUCGGGUAAGUUCCGACCUGCACGAAUGGCGUAAUGAUGGCCAGGCUGUCUCCACCCGAGACUCAGUGAAAUUGAACUCGCUGUGAAGAUGCAGUGUACCCGCGGCAAGACGGAAAGACCCCGUGAACCUUUACUAUAGCUUGACACUGAACAUUGAGCCUUGAUGUGUAGGAUAGGUGGGAGGCUUUGAAGUGUGGACGCCAGUCUGCAUGGAGCCGACCUUGAAAUACCACCCUUUAAUGUUUGAUGUUCUAACGUGGACCCGUAAUCCGGGUUGCGGACAGUGUCUGGUGGGUAGUUUGACUGGGGCGGUCUCCUCCUAAAGAGUAACGGAGGAGCACGAAGGUUGGCUAAUCCUGGUCGGACAUCAGGAGGUUAGUGCAAUGGCAUAAGCCAGCUUGACUGCGAGCGUGACGGCGCGAGCAGGUGCGAAAGCAGGUCAUAGUGAUCCGGUGGUUCUGAAUGGAAGGGCCAUCGCUCAACGGAUAAAAGGUACUCCGGGGAUAACAGGCUGAUACCGCCCAAGAGUUCAUAUCGACGGCGGUGUUUGGCACCUCGAUGUCGGCUCAUCACAUCCUGGGGCUGAAGUAGGUCCCAAGGGUAUGGCUGUUCGCCAUUUAAAGUGGUACGCGAGCUGGGUUUAGAACGUCGUGAGACAGUUCGGUCCCUAUCUGCCGUGGGCGCUGGAGAACUGAGGGGGGCUGCUCCUAGUACGAGAGGACCGGAGUGGACGCAUCACUGGUGUUCGGGUUGUCAUGCCAAUGGCACUGCCCGGUAGCUAAAUGCGGAAGAGAUAAGUGCUGAAAGCAUCUAAGCACGAAACUUGCCCCGAGAUGAGUUCUCCCUGAGACUUAGAGUCUCCUGAAGGAACGUUGAAGACGACGACGUUGAUAGGCCGGGUGUGUAAGCGCAGCGAUGCGUUGAGCUAACCGGUACUAAUGAACCGUGAGGCUUAACCUU